UACAGAGGCCUCAAGCGUUGUUCGGAUUCAUUGGGCGUAAAGGGUGCGUAGGCGGCGCGGUAAGUCGGGUGUGAAAUCUCGGAGCUUAACUCCGAAACUGCAUUCGAUACUGGCGUGCUUGAGGACUGGAGAGGAGACUGGAAUUUACGGUGUAGCGGUGAAAUGCGUAGAUAUCGUAAGGAAGACCAGUGGCGAAGGCGGGUCUCUGGACAGUUCCUGACGCUGAGGCACGAAGGUCAGGGGAGCAAACGGG
This 253-nucleotide ribosomal RNA is filed under the name uncultured bacterium. RNAcentral's name for it is "partial 16S ribosomal RNA". It matches the Rfam family "Bacterial small subunit ribosomal RNA", at positions 524 to 776 of the family's 1533-position model. The record is from RNAcentral.